Molecule: ribosomal RNA, 498 nt
Filed under: uncultured bacterium
Lineage: Bacteria
Description: partial 16S ribosomal RNA
Rfam family: Bacterial small subunit ribosomal RNA
Source: RNAcentral
AUUGAACGCUGGCGGCAUGCUUUACACACGCAAGUCGAACGGUAACAGGCCGCAAGGUGCUGACGAGUGGCGAACGGGUGAGUAAUGCAUCGGAACGUGCCCAGUCGUGGGGGAUAACGCAGCGAAAGCUGUGCUAAUACCGCAUACGAUCUAUGGAUGAAAGCGGGGGACCGUAAGGCCUCGCUCGAUUGGAGCGGCCGAUGUCAGAUUAGGUAGUUGGUGGGGUAAAGGCCUACCAAGCCGACGAUCUGUAGCUGGUCUGAGAGGACGACCAGCCACACUGGGACUGGGACACGGCCCAGACUCCUACGGGCGGCAGCAGUGGGGAAUUUUGGACAAUGGGCGCAAGCCUGAUCCAGCAAUGCCGCGUGCAGGAAGAAGGCCUUCGGGUUGUAAACUGCUUUUGUACGGAACGAAACGGUCUGGGUUAAUACCCUGGGCUAAUGACGGUACCGUAAGAAUAAGCACCGGCUAACUACGUGCCAGCCGCCGCCGUAA